Molecule: long non-coding RNA, 182 nt
Organism: Triticum aestivum (bread wheat)
Lineage: Eukaryota; Viridiplantae; Streptophyta; Magnoliopsida; Poales; Poaceae
Exons: 2
Source: RefSeq, a predicted model, not a curated record
GGUUCCAAGGUUUGGCCACAAUAUUUGGAGACAUUUCCUGUUAGGAGUUAAGCUUUGGUUUGGAGGCAUUGAACUUUGGCUGUAAAUAACUAACUUUGUUACUUGGUAUACUUCUCUCAGUUCAUGUAAACAACUAUCUACCACACCACACUGGUUAAUCUGGGAUUUCCUUCGGGACCAAA